CAGCAGAGAGCAGAGGUCCGUGGCCCGCUAGCCGUUUACAGGUGGUGGAUGAAAGUAAAUCUGGCAACGGUUACGAGUUGCGACACCAUUUCAUGUUGACAAGCCGAGAAACGAGUUGUAUCAAACUGAAACUGAAACAUUGAAUUGAUCUCGUUUUUUUGAGAAAUACGCCAGAAACAUUAAGGUUUCACACAUCAGUGGGGCUGUUCAUGUUAUUCGUAACCAAAAUUGCUGGUGUCAUGAGACCUGUGGAACGACUGCUGGCCUCCUCAGCAAGACCGCCCAACAUUCUAAUAUGUACGAGUGACAGAGAAGUAUUUCAACAAUAUCGAGCCCUCUUUGAAUCCACACUAGAGCCGGAUUGUUAUGCCCUUUACCAUCUCGAUGAACUCUCAUUUCGUUCUAAAAGAGCUUGGCUAAGCAACACAAGCCUCCUAGUACUUGCUUCUCGAUGGUCUGAUAAUGACUUGCACGAUCCGCUGGAAGAGUACAUCAAGAAGGGUGGUCAAUGUCUUUCCCUACACCCUUUUUCUCCAAAAUGGCUGAAUGGAACCCAAGUGAAUGGCGUUACAAAGUACGUAUCUGAUCAAGGCUUACUAGUCUCACCAGUCGACAAGCUUGAUUUCGCUGAAGUACUUCCGCAUAUUCUAGAACUUCACUUCCACAUUAAGACACAAGUCAGAAGUCAACAGGAGGCUCGUGUUGAAUCACAGCAAAUGAUUGGCCAUUUAAUCGCUGAACCUUAUCACCAAGAAGCUUUUUUCCGUAAUUUUGGCCGACAGUCCCCUGAUAUGAUGACUGUUGAGCUCACCAAGUCAUUUUCGACAAACAAGCAAGAACUACCGAUAAAUAUUCGCAGAAACCAAAGCUCAAGAUUUAACCAACGCGAUUAUUUUGAUAUGCUGAAGACCAAAGUCUUGGGUCGAACAGGCCUGUAUUUCGAUGUGGUUGGAUCUACCCACUCGGUUUUGGAGGGAUGUGAUUCAUUUCCAGAUGGUUUGGUCGUGAUUGCCCGACGUCAGAGUCAAGGUCGAGGACGAAGUGGUAAUGUCUGGAUGAGUCCUGAAGGUUGCGCCAUGUUCUCCUUGCGGAUGCGGUUUCCUUUGCAGUCGGAACUCGGAAGGCACUUGCCUCUUCUUCAACACAUUGUUGCAUUGGCAAUAGUAUUAGCAGCUAAAGGUCUCCCACACUGCCACGAUUUGCAGCUGGGAGUAAAAUGGCCCAACGAUGUCUACCAUCAAGAUGUCUCUCGAAAAAUUAACACUAAAAUUGGGGGUGUUUUAGUGACCACUUCCAUAAUGGGAUCAAUAGUCGUAGCAGCCAUUGGUUGCGGUGUAAAUCUGAACAAUCAACGACCGACGUUGUGUCUUAAUGAUCUCAUCCGCCAGGAAAGUGAUACGAUAAAUGAAGAUUCGCGAGACGGAGGUUAUUAAGGGGUGACUGACCCAGAUCGAGAUCCUUUUUUUUUUUGUAUUCACUUCCUCGUUAGUUUGGGUUGUCGUCUAUUGUUUGGUUUUCUCGAGCACUGAACUGCGUAUAUCACUUAAGCUUGUUGCCCUGAAACUUUUUUUCCAAUAGAGUCUAAAAGUACGAAAUCAAAAUAUGGUCCAUUUCUGGGUUCGUGCUUUUUGCUAGCAGUCACACUUUUGGAGCACUGUACCAAUACCAAACAAAACUUAAUCAAUACAUCAGCAAGUUAGGUACGCGAAUAGUAACAUAAUGAACAUAAUAUUCCCCACGUCUUUGCUGAUUGUCUGCUCCGUAAUCAGCAACUACCCGAUCGAAGCCUCGCGUCCCGUAAGCGUCAUCGCUCACAUGGUCAACACACCAAAUUCUAUACGAUGGGCUUUGGAUCAAGGCGCUAAUAGUAUCGAGAUUGAUUUGAAGUUUGACGGCACUCACCCCAGUAAAUUCCAUCACGGCUUCCCUUGUGACUGUAGUUGCCUAUUGGAUUUUUCAACAUUUCGACACAACGGAUGCAAAGUUCUCGGUGAAGAUUGUUCAGCCUCCACCUCCGUUGCGGAAAUGAUUAAGUUCUUGUCUAGUCAUGAGAUUAUCUCUUCACGUCUGGCAGUUAUUUACGUCGAUGCGAAACUUGACAAUUCAGUGGGAAAUUACGCCGAGGCGGGGGCCAAUGUAGUGCGACUAUUUAACGAAAAAGUUUUAGCGAGGGGAUUCCGCGGUCAAAUUCUUCUCGGUUGUCUGACUAUCUCACGAGUCGAUUACCUGCGUGGUGCCCUACAAGAAGCCUCUAAAUCCAAAUACGCGGAUCGUUAUUUCUACACCAUUGACAAUGAGGGGAGAAGAGCAAAUCAAGUGUUGAAGCUUUCGCUUGAAUUGGAGACCAAAAAUAUCGUUUACGAUACUGGAAUAUCUGCUUGUUUUCAUAUGUUGCCAUCAGCAUUUGACGAUGCCAUUCAAUACAGCCUAGAUGCAGAGGCGUACGCUGCAGUAGGCGUGUGGACUGUCGAUCGAAAAUCCACCAUGGCUCAUUACCUGGAAGCAGGUGUAGAUUU
Molecule: RNA transcript, 2516 nt
Organism: Daphnia pulicaria
Lineage: Eukaryota; Metazoa; Arthropoda; Branchiopoda; Diplostraca; Daphniidae
Gene: Hcs
Gene name: biotin--protein ligase-like
Exons: 9
Source: RefSeq, a predicted model, not a curated record